This 479-nucleotide ribosomal RNA is filed under the name uncultured bacterium. RNAcentral's name for it is "bacterial SSU rRNA". It matches the Rfam family "Bacterial small subunit ribosomal RNA", at positions 28 to 512 of the family's 1533-position model. The record is from RNAcentral.
GAUGAACGCUAGCGGCAGGCUUAACACAUGCAAGUCGAGGGGUAUUGGUUUUCGGGCCAAGAGACCGGCGCACGGGUGCGUAACGCGUAUGCAAUCUACCUUUUGCAGAGGGAUAGCCCCAGAGAAAUUUGGAUUAAUACCUCAUAGUAUAGUACUUUGGCAUCAAGGAACUAUUAAAGUCACAACGGCAAAAGAUGAGCAUGCGUCCAUUAGCUAGUUGGUAAGGUAACGGCUUACCAAGGCUACGAUGGGUAGGGUCCUGAGAGGGAGAUCCCCCCANACUGGUACUGAGACACGGACCAGACUCCCACGGGAGCAGCAGUGAGGAAUAUUGGACAAUGGGCNCAAGCCUGAUCCAGCCAUGCCGCGUGCAGGAUGACGGUCAUGGAUUGUAAACUGCUUUUUAACAGGAGAACACUCCGACGUGUCGGAGCUUGACGGUACUGUAAGAACUAAGGAUCGGGCUAACUCGUGCCAGC